ACCCUCUCAGGGUUGCACCUGGAGAGUUUCCAGUACUCUAUCAGUCUCGACUACGGGAGGGAGAGUCAAGCAGAGGAAUACCCAUUCUACUCCUAACUUGGCCAGUGGCUAGCGAGUGGAAGGCAACCUGCUACAAGU
Molecule: non-coding RNA, 138 nt
Organism: Ornithorhynchus anatinus (platypus)
Lineage: Eukaryota; Metazoa; Chordata; Mammalia; Monotremata; Ornithorhynchidae
Source: Rfam